Molecule: ribosomal RNA, 231 nt
Filed under: uncultured Alicycliphilus sp.
Lineage: Bacteria; Pseudomonadati; Pseudomonadota; Betaproteobacteria; Burkholderiales; Comamonadaceae
Description: partial 16S ribosomal RNA
Rfam family: Bacterial small subunit ribosomal RNA
Source: RNAcentral
AGCUGAUCACUGGGUGUAAAGCGUGCGCAGGCGGUUUCGUAAGACAGAGGUGAAAUCCCCGGGCUCAACCUGGGAACUGCCUUUGUGACUGCAAGGCUGGAGUGCGGCAGAGGGGGAUGGAAUUCCGCGUGUAGCAGUGAAAUGCGUAGAUAUGCGGAGGAACACCGAUGGCGAAGGCAAUCCCCCUGGGCCUGCACUGACGCUCAUGCACGAAAGCGUGGGGAGCAAACA